Vitis vinifera (wine grape) is the source of this 11222-nucleotide long non-coding RNA. RefSeq lists it as uncharacterized. The transcript has 3 exons. The record is from RefSeq and is a predicted model, not a curated record. Lineage: Eukaryota; Viridiplantae; Streptophyta; Magnoliopsida; Vitales; Vitaceae.
UUCAAUAUGGUUCCUAUCAUGUCAGAACUGACAAUCCCACAUCGCUUGUGCACGAGAUGACGCUGCAAAGGACAUAGUAUAAAAUGAAGAUGAAGAGACAUUGAAAAGCAUACCUUUCUCGGCCUUUUGGCUAAGAUCAAGUGUAGUAUCUGUUCUUAUCAGUUUAAUAUCUGAUACGUGGGACAUCGUCCCACAUGAUAUUAAAUUUAUUUUUUUAGGGGGAGGUCUCACCACAAUAGCUUGCUAUUGGAGUCCUCGCGCGUCGCCCUGGCGUUGCACUAUUGCCUGGGCCUGGCGCACCCCUCAAAUUCAAGUUCUAAUUUAUUUGCGAAAGGUUGUUGCAGAUGUCCUAAAUUCAAUUUAGAUUAGAGUUUUCACAAGUUAAUUGUAGUUGUAUGUUGAUUUCUGUCUAUUUAUUGAGUUAUUUCUGGAUUGUAUUGAAUGGGUUCAUAGCUAUUGCAGCAAAAGAGGUCUGUCCUGGUAUUCGUAAUUUUUGUCGAGGGCUGCGUUGAUGGUGGUGAUAUAUGCUUUGGGUAUUAAUAUUAUUGAAUUAGUUUUUACCAGUUUUUAUUGAAGUUGUUGGAAAUGGCAAAGCGCAUUCUGGUGGUUCUAUGGAUUUGAGUAAACUUGUCUGGGUUGUGAGGGAAAGGUUUGUAGGUUUGGGGGCAGAGGAAUGUAUAUUGAAUGGUGAUCAAGGCAUGAGUAAGAUUGAGAUGCUGAGGAGUGUUUGGCUCAAUGGGGAAUGGGGAAGGGGAAGAGUCCUUUUUCCCCUUUUGUUGAUCUACAUGUGUGCGUUCAUCCUUGUGGGCUUUUGAUAUUGUAUCUCAUUACCCUUAUUUCUCACUUCUAAAUUCGCAUCAUCUUUUUAGUAUAAAUCUUAACUUAAAACUAAAUAAAUAAGAAAAAUUGAAAUCUCAACUUUUUUCUUUUGAACAUUUUUUCCUCAAUUUUACAACAAAAUCUCAGCAAUUUUUUAAACAAAAGAUCACAUCUGUGUGGACCGUAUUAGAUGCUUUUAGUUGUGAAUUCACUCCUGACUCAGUGCUAUAAAGAUCAAGUGUCCAUUCUGGGACCUUCUACAAUCUUGAAUUGAGCUCUUAAUUUUCUCUUUUUGGAUAAGGCAUUGAGAAGUAGUCCUACCAAGACAAUGGUGAAGUCCUUGAGCUAUUAAUUCUACUCAAUUCCUAAUCAGCUGCAGAAGUUACAAGGGCUGAGUGACUCCAAAUAACAUUAGCAGCGAUAAGUAAUGGCUACCAGUUGCAGGGAUGACGGCUGUGGUUAUGCAAAGGAUAUUUUGUUUUUGCUUUUGGUAUGUUUUUUUUUUGGUGACCCAUCUAUUGUUGUGUUUCAAAUAAACCUUUUUAUGUUGUAUUGGUGUUAUUGGAGUUGAAAGAAAUAAUUUUCCUGAAUGCAGCAAAAACAAGCAUGGGAAUUCACUUAUUCCCACUCUAACAUGUCGAUUUUGUUUUAAUAGAUGUGUUUUCAACAAAAGGAAGUGUCUUAUCUGUUGUGUAUUGGUGACUGUCUCCUCAUUUCAGUCAUUGAUGACUGAGCUGGUUUCAUGUCUCUUUGUUUGUGGCCAAAAACUAACGUUAUAUCUUUCUCAGUAGUCCUGAAGAACAGGGGAAUCUUGUCUUCCUCAAGCAUAUAUAGAGGGUGGAUCUAAUGAAAUUUUAAUUUCAUUUUUUUUAAGAUUUCCUUUUGUACUCGAUCUGUUUUUUUGUACGUUUUUGUUUUUGGUGUUUUGGUUGGGAAGGAGGGAAGUUGGGUUUAAUUAUGAUGGUAGUAUUGCGAUGAGUGAUUAUGAGGUGGAGAUGGUGACUGAUGGCAUGCCUUUUUUAUGAAAAUUUUUCAUAAACAUGACUGAUCCUUUUCCUCCUUCCCUGAUCUAAAUGAGUAUGUCUCUCUUUGUGAUUGAAAAUUUAAAGUAUUUGUGGUACAAACCAAUAACAUUCUUCUCUUUACCGUCAAACUUGCGUAUAAUUUUGAAUAGAUCAAUUUCUAGUUUUCUAAGACAAUUCACACUUGGGUUCCAAUUUUGGUUCUUUGGUUUAUCAUUUGAACAGCUGAUUCAUGCCUAAAAAUUGUUCCCUUGAUUUAGUCAAAUCUGGUUAUAAACUAUUGUACUCACUUGUCUGUUGGUUCUUACAUGGGGUGCAAGUUUGUUGUAUGAUAGUUUUCAGCAAUUAGAACGGAUUUUCAUUUGUAGAAUGCAUAUGGGUUUUUUCAAGUCUUUAUACAAGAAAGAGAGUUUUCCUGUUUGAUUGAUUGGGGCAGGUCCAUGUAACUGAGGCGUGUGGAGGAUAAGAGUGGAGCUUGGCUUUUGUCAACAAGAUCUAUCACCCAAAUGUGGCUAAGAUUUGAGUUCAACCCAGUACUUUUGCUUCUGUGGGUGGUAUCUGCUGUUGUAACACAAAUUCAAUGAGGAAUUCAUUUUUUUUUAAAGCAUUAUACUUUUGGAGGUUCUUGUGUUUUUCGUGUGGCUCUGUUUGUUUAAAUGGUACUCAGAGCUUGAUGUUUGAUAAAAUAGUGUACCAUGUCAAUGAUUUAAUAUAGUUUGUACAGACUCUGGACACAUGAUUUUUUUUUUCAUGCAUUAUUUUUGGUUUAAUGCAUAAAAUUGUCAAUUUCAGAUGUCUGACAUAUGUAUUUUUUAAUUUGUUUUCAGAUCUGGUAUACUAGUUUUAAGUGCUUUUUCCUUGAUUUGUUCUGUAUCAUAAACCAUCAGAGCUUUCAAAUGGUGAGGCUGCUGUGAUUAUGUGUGAUCUCCCUGCUUAUGAACAAAGAAGAAAGGUAGCAACUCUUCUCAAACUUGUCUGUUCCAAAAGUAUGAUUGUUUGGUGUUAAAGUGGCAAGACUAGAGUGUCUUGAAUUUUCUAUUGAUUUCUUUGCUCAUCCAAUGAACUUGAGAUGGAGUUCAAUUCAUUAACUGUGAAGUACUCCAUUGCAUAAAUCCAAAAUCAUUUCUAUAAAUGAAGACAUCUGAGGCCAUGAACCCUAAAUGCGAGCACAAACCAUUUUCCUGUUACUUUAAUGCCUAUUUAACAAUUCCUCGGAAGUUUGUGGAACUUGGUCUUGUUGGGAAUUCUUAUAAUUUUUGUAAUGUUAGAUUUGUUCCUGUUUUCAGAUAGUCAUCUGGACUCUGUUCCUAAACAUAUUUGCUUUUCCAAUUGGGUCUACUAUGCCAGUUGUUCAAUUCAUUCCUAUGAGAUGCAACCUGAAUUGUUGCUUGUAGUGUUUCUUUCUUACUUCCUUUUCCUUUUCUGCCAACAUUGGUUCUCUCUACAUCUUCAAGUUUUCAGCCACUUGCAUCACAGAUAAAGGGUUAAAGAAAUUCUAUUGACAUUCAGUUCCAUGUUCUAUUAAAAGGAAUUCUGAACAUAUUUGUUUUGAGAGAAUGGCUAGAAAUGUCAAUCCCAAAAUCUAGAAAUCAUCAACCUGCUUGAAGAUUAUAAAAAGGAAGCAAGGAGGAUUUAAUAUCUGUGUAUAGAAAUAGAGAAUGCAGUGAUAAGUAGCAGUAGAAUGAGGUGGGGAGGUUCACUUCCAGUUGAGAAUGUCCAGGAUCUUACUUCCAAGAACUUCAGUUUUGACAAGUCUAGUAGGUUUAUCCAGAAGCCAAUUCUGAAGAUAUUAUGAUGGAUGAGUGUCUUCAAAUUCUGUUAACUGAUAGAGGAAACUCAUGGUUGGUCAGUUUAGCCUGGGGCCCGAAGGCAAUGACUUUCACCAACUUUAUUUGGCUGGUAAAGAUUUGGGCUUCUCAUGGAUAUAGCCCCAUUUUCUAGUUAUGGGCAUCUGAGUGGUAACUCCUAGUUUUUAGUUGCAGUUCUUGAGCAGCCUCUGAAAAUUCAGAUGGAUGAUAACUACCCUAGAAGGGUUUUCUUCUUUCCUUUUUUUGGUGUUUAUGACAAACAAUAGACAAGCAUUCAAUCCAUAGGAUCCUAAGCUUGACAGGACCCUUGCUGCUGCCUAGUCCAUGGGGUAGUAUAGUUGUGCUUGCACUACAACUCAAUGCUCUACCUUGAAACUCAUUUAAUACCAAAUUUAGAUCAACCAAACCCUGUUCACCAUCAUUUGAUGGUGAGGGGUUACUAGUUAGCAGUGGUCUAAUUGCAUUCCCAUGACACCAAGGUUAAGUUACAUUUAGAAUUGCACAAUUAAGUAACCUGAAAAUAGACUCUUUAAGGAAAAACACAGGAAAAAACAAGGCAAAGGCAGAUGAGAAAGUGUGAAGUGUUAUCCCACUUCAACAAGGCAUGAAGUGUGGCUGUAGAAGGACAUAGCAUAAAAGGGAGUCGAGAAGGCAUUGCAAAACAUACCUUUCUCGGCCUUUUGGCUAAGAUCAAGUGUAGUAUCUGUUCUUAUCAGUUUAAUAUCUGAUACGUGGGACAUCGUCCCACAUGAUAUUAAAUUUAUUUUUUUAAGGGGAGGGCCAAUCCCAAUAGCUUGCUAUUGGGGUCCUCAUGUGUCACCCUUGCGUUUCACUACUGCUUGGGCCUGGCCCACCCCUCCAAUUACAGUCUACUAAUUUGUGACAGCUUGCUUGGGCAAGGGGUCUACUCAUGUAUUGGUACUGCAGUUAUUUGUUUGUAUAUUCCAGUAUUUAUGGGCCUCGGGCUGUUGUAAAGAUUGAUACUUCUGAUUUGUUUGGGCUAGGCUUUACUACUAUUGGAUCUCAAUCUCGUGGUAGUUGCAAUUUAUCCAUAUUUGAACUUUAUUCUAUUUUACAAAUUAAAUAAAGUUCGAGAAAAAACAUCAAAUUUCAUUCUUUCUUUGAAGAAUUGUUAUAGCACAAUAACUAUUUAUACCAGUGUUUUUUAGCUGUAGUUGUGUGCGUUUGGACCCAACAUGAAAAACUAGUUUAUGUCUUUAAACACCUAGUUCCUAAUAGCCGAAGAAAUACCAUAACUAGAUUCAUUCAUGACAACAUAAAAUUUUCUAUUGAUUUUACUUGUAAAGGUGACCUGCUGUGCCAUUUUAAGAUGUAAUCUUUGAAUAUUUACAUAAAUAAUAUUUUCUUCUCUGGCAAAAAAUAUUUUACCUUAAGUCCUGAUCAAAAAGGGUAUAUAUUUUGGUGAAUGAUUAUUAACAUAAAAUAGAAAGUAAAAUUAUUCAUCUGAAGAUGAAAGAAAAAUGAAACCUAUUACAUUUUAUCAUACAUCUCAUAAAGUUUGUAUGUCCCUGGGAUUUGAUAGAAAAUGGUGCAGUAGCAGUUAAGCCUUGUAGUAGUUGGAUAAGACACAGGACCAGCCAAAAAAGGAAUAAAAGGAGAACAAAAAAUGCUGUCCAUCUAACCAAACACAAUAACAUCAUAUAAUGGUUUUACUACACUUAGCCCUUAUGCCACUUGUAUCCCAAAAGGAGUUCCUCAUGCAAAAUGGUAGCAACAGAAGAAGAGGAUAAAAAAUGAAACCUUUACAGAUCUGGGGUGAGAUUGGGCUUAUAGAUUGCAAGGCUUUGAGGCACCAUUGUGUCAACAAGAGCAUCCACCUGCUUGAGGCUGGGAGACUUUAGGUUCACAUCAACCAUGUCUUCUUGCUUGGCUGAAGAAAGUGUUUCCAUUCCUGGUAAAGCUGCAAUUUUCUGAAACAGUGCCUGUAUGAAAAAGGUUCAUUUAACCAAAGAAUUCCAUGAUCAAGACAGUUACAACCUAGUGAGCAUCCAAGAAUUAAUCUAAAGGAUGUCUGGGGAAAGAGAUUACCUUUAUAUUGAAGCCAGCUUUGGCACUUGUGUCAAUGAACAUGAUGUUAAGUUCACGAGCUUUGGCUUCUCCUUCUUCUAUUGAGACUUGCCAGUGGGCUCACCUACAUGAAACCAAAUAUCUUAGUGAAAGAGGCAAAAAGAAAAAACAAGGCAGUAUAGACUGAAUGCCAAUCUUCUUGGCCUGGAAGAAAAGCAAGGAGUGCUUCACAACACAUAAUAUUUUGCUAAUGGGUAUCAGCAGUUGGAAAUGAACACGGGAAAAGACAUACUGCUUGGACUUGAUGAUGACAAUUCACAGUUUAAUAAAGACAUAGUUCAACUUAAUUCCCAAACAGCUGCAGAAGUUACAAGAGCUGAGGGACUACAAAUAACAUUGGGAGUGAUAAAGGUGGACUGAAGCUUGUAUCUUAAGCAUGAAGUGGUCCAGGUUUCAUGGUCUGAGGUCCUGAGAUGGGCCUAGAAUAAGUAGUCCAUUAAGUUGGAUCAGUCAUUAGUGGACGAAUCUUUAAUGGGAAUUAAUUUGAAUUAUUGGUGUGUCACUGACAGUUCAUUUCUAGGCUUCUAGCUUUCUCAUGCUGGGACUAACAAUCCCACAUUGCUUGUGUAUGAGAUGAAGCUGCAAAGGAUAUAGCAUAAAAUGAAGAUGAGGAGACAUUGAAAGGCAUACCUUUCUCGGCCUUUUGGCUAAGAUCAAGUGUAGUAUCUGUUCUUAUCAGUUUAAUAUCUGAUACGUGGGACAUCGUCCCACAUGAUAUUAACUUUAUUUUUUUAGGGGAAGGGCCCAUCAUAAUAGCUUGCCAUUGGGGUCUUUGAGCGUUGCCCGUGCGUUGCACUACUGCUUGGGCCUGGCACACCCCUCCAAUAUCUUGUCCCACAAUUUGUUUAUAAAUGCAAUAGUCUGAGCUGGUAUUGGAAAAAAUUUCUCUACUCCAAUCUCUCUCUUUUAAAAUUGGGUGUUCAGGGGUGGUGAGAAUAUCAGGGAUGAAGAGUUGUGAGAAUCCAUGCGGAUUAGCAUAGUGUAACGACCCGCACCCAACCAUAUAGAUAUUGUCCGCUUUGGGCCCAAGGGGGCCCUCACGGUUUUAAAACGCGUCUACUUGGUUAAGAGGAGUCUCUACAUAUAUAGCGCCAGAAACUUUCUCCCCUAUCCGAUGUAGGACAUCACAAACACCCCCCCCAUGCAGACACAACGUCCUCGUUGUGUCCCAUGGGAUUGCGGGGCCAAACAAACCCCCACACCGGGGUUGGGGAUCGGCUCUCAUACCAUUUGUAACGACCCGCACCCAACCAUAUAGAUAUUGUCCGCUUUAGGCCCAAGGGGGUUCUCACGGUUUUAAAAUGCGUCUAUUUGGUUAAGAGGAGUCUCUACAUAUAUAGCGUCAGGAACUUUCUCCCCUAUCCGAUGUGGGACAUCACACAUAGACUCUUUCCUUUAGCCAUUUUUCCUUUUCUGAUCCUAACAAUGUACCCCUUGCUUUUUUGCAUCCACAACAACCCAUCAUCUGAGCAUGCAGUAGUCUCUUUCUUGCUUCUCUAAUUUAAAUCCACCCAUUGUAGUUUUCUGUCAAAUUGUUUUUUCUUCCAGGGAUAUGGUCUUAAAUGAUAAUUUGAUCUGAAAUUGAUGCAGCCCAAAUGGAAUGUUGUGAUACCUAAGAUGUUUCAGAAUGAGUAUAUUGGCAGUGCACCUUACAUGUCCUGUCUGCACUUUUCUUUAUCACCAAAAACUCUAUACAAGAGGUCAAUUUUUUAUCCUCUUAUCUGAUGGCUCGAGUAUUUUAAGCAAUCAGGAAGUGGUUUGUCAGGUUUAGAGGUUUAUGGAGAAGUUUCUGGAUGUGGAGCCCCUGAGAAUACCUUAUCCAGGAGCUGUUUCCCAUGCAGCCAUUUGGUAAUUUUCCUCACCUUGUUAUUUCUUCUGCACAUUAUAUUUUUCAGUUGUCUUGGAUACAUGUUCUCUUUGAGAUCAUAUGUAAUAUGGAGAAGCAAACCUAACAUUGAAAAAUACAUUAGUUGGAAAUUUGUGGGAUGGAUGCUUGACUAUAGGACUCAUAUUGGGAAUGCUUUCUGGGUUGAGUAGAUAACCAGGACAAUCUGCAUUGUUCGUUACUUUCUGGUCUGGCUAUAUAUCUUUGGUUGGUUAUGUUUUUAAGGAGAUAAAACUGUUUUAUGUUCAAUAAAAAUAAAAAUAAAAAAUUUGAAAAAGAGGGAUGCCUUGAUCUUAUACCAAUGGUAGUUUCAUUUCCCAAAUUGUUCCUUGACUGUAAUUUAUGCCUUUUUUUUUAUUAUAUUGUCACAUGGGAAUAAAAAUCAUAUUUUUCAACUUCAAAUGUAAUGGAUAUGAUGCUUCUUUUAUGACCUUGGUAUGCAACACCGUGCCACAAAAACUUUACAUGUUGAUAUGCAUAUAUCUAUAUGUUUUCUUUAUCAAAUAAAUGGAAUUUAUUUAAUCAUAGUUAGUACACAAAAAAAAUAUAAAACAAAACAAAUAAAUAUAAUAUGGCAAGUAAAAUGAAGGAACUCCCAAAGAUUAAACAUCAUUUUUAACCUUUAAUUCAAAUUUGCGUCUUCAUAAUAUGAAAUUAUAAUUAUUAUGGGCUUCAACAUUAUCCUUAUAAUAUAGAUUAAUUUCUCUUUAUUAACAUAUUAUUUCAUGAAAUUGGAGAUACCAAUUAUGCAAUGUUAUUGUAUGUACCCUGGAAAAACAGAAGAAUAAGUUGAACAACCUUCAAUGUGGCUUCUAUCCCAUUCAGCUCUAUAUUACACAUGUCAGACCUGACAAUCCCACAUUGCUUGUGUAUGAGAUAAAGUUGCAAGCCACAUGAUAUAAAAAUAAGAUGAAGAAACGUUAAAAAGCAUACCUUUCUCGGUCUUUUGGCUAAGAUCAAGUGUAGUAUCUGUUCUUAUCAGUUUAAUAUCUGAUACGUGGGACAUUGUCCCACAUGAUAUUAAAUUUAUUUUUUUAGGGGAAGGGCCCAUCACAAUAGCUUGCCAUUGGGGUACUUGUGCGGCACCCUUGAGUUGCACUACUGCUUGGGCCUGGUGCACCCCUCCAAUUAAAGUCUAUAAAUGCCUUAACAGUUUCCUUGGCUAAUUUGAUGGAGUGUAGAACAGAAAUAGUCAACUUUUGGCAGUAAAAACCCAUAACUCUCAUGGCAAUGGAACCACACUCGACACUGUCACAAUGCAGCCAACCCAUUGUGUGACUGCAGGAAGCUUGCUCAACUAGGCGUCUCUUGGAUACUCAAAAGAUUAGGAAGAAGAAUGUGAAUAGAAAAUGUGCUAGCUUUCAAGACACAUUAUGCUUGAGUUGCUUAGAGGAAUAAGGAAGAUGGAGGAUGGAGGAAGAACAGAUGAGCUUCCAAGCAACAAUGAAGAAGUUAUGGAUGCAUUUGAUUUUGUAUUAUUGGUAUAGAAAGUCUCAAAUGUUUCCCAAUGUAGAGGCCUUAAUGCACUUGCUUCCUAGUAGGUUAAAGUUGAAACAGCUUGCUUCAAUUCUAAAACAAUAGAUCUUUCUCUUCAAAUUGAUGUGCAUCUAUCUCUAUGUAUAUAUCCAAAUUAUGCUGUUUCUUCAAGGUAAGUUAAAAUUGUGGAGAAAAAUGAGUACUGGGUGUCAGUGGACAAUAAAACAUUUGCCUAAUCUUUUUGAUAGACUUUUGUGCAGAGUCAUGUUAGGCUAGGGCAGAUCAUCCCUCCUCCACUCUCCAUGUAUCUACUCUUUUACUAAUUUACUUCACUCUCACAACAUGAGCACAUGAGAUUGUAUCCACUCUUCUUUCAUGUAUUUAUUAAUUUUCUUUGCAUCUAUAAUAUGGAUUACGAGAUAGAAAUGCAGUGGGAUAAGCUUGUGUUCCAAGUUAGAUAUGUUGGUGAUGAUAAGUACUGUAAGUAUCGACAGUUUAGUAAGUGACCCCAAAACAGGUCAAAGAAGAAAUGAAAGAUUGGGGGCAUGAGUUAUGCAUGUACUACUAGCCUACUAGCUGUGUGGAUGGUUGAUGGAUGUGAGCAAUUGAUUUAACAUAGUAUCUGUAUAGGUUCUUAAUUGAUGCUCACUCAUUCUAAUAUAUUUUGAUUUAUCACCCCAAUGUAAUGUAUACUUUUAUUUUUUUCUCAUUAUUUAUUAUUUUCUUCAUCUGUGCUGCUUAAGGAUUAAUGGCUACCAGUUGCAGAGAUAGCAGCUGUGGUUAUGCACCAGCUAUCUUGUUUUUUCCUUUUUUCUUUUUUUCUUUUUCAGUGACCCAUCUAUUUUUCUAUUUCAAAUAAACAUUUUUAUGUUGUAUUGGUGUUAUUGGAGUUCAAAGAAAAUUUUUUCCUAAAUGUUAUAAUAACAAGCAUGGGAAUUCACUUAUUCCCAGUCUAAAAUGUCAAUUUUUUUUAAUAGAUGUGUUUUCACCUAAAUGAAAUGUCUUUAUCUGUUGUGUAUUGGUGACUGUCUCCACAUUUUCAGUAAUUGAUGACUGAGCUGGUUUCAUGUCUCUUUGUUUGUGGCCAAAAACUUAUGUUGUAUCUUUCUCAAUCCUGAAGAACAGAGGAAUCUCGUCUUCCCCAAGCAUAUAUAGAGGGUGGAUCUAAUGAACUUGUAAUUUCUUUUUUUCAAGAUUUCCUUUUGUACUCAGUCUGUUUUUCCUUUAUAUCUAUGUUGGUAAUGGUGCGAUAAGUGAUUAUAAGGUGGAGAUGGCGACUGAUGGCAUGCCUUAUUUAUGGAAAUUUUCAUGGACUCACUGGGUAAAUCUUUCAUGUAUGCAAUCUGUUUCCUCCUUCCCUGAUCUAAAUGAGUAUGUCUCUUUGUGAUUGAAAAUUUGAAUAGAGGAAGACCAGUUAUAUGUUCUCUUUACUGUCAAACUCGAGUACAAUUAUGAAUAGAGCAAUUUCUAGUUUUCUUAGACAAUUCGCACUUGGGUUCCAAUUUUGGUUCUUUAGUUUAAUCAUUUGAACAGCUGAUUUUUGCCUAAAAAUUGUUCUCUUGAUUUAGUCAAAUCUGGUUAUAAACUAUUGCACUCACUUGUCUGUUGGUUCUUACAUGAGGUGCAAGUUUGUUGUAGGAUAGUUUUCAUAUAUGAGAAUGGAAGUUCAUUUGCAGAAUGCUUACAGGGAGUUUCAAGUCUUUCUACAAGAAUCAGAGUUUUCCUGUUUGAUUGAUUGUGGCAGGUCCUUGUAACUGAGGUGUGUGGAGGAUAAGAGUGGAGUUUGGCUUUUGUCAACGAAAUCUAUCACCCAAAUGUGGCUAAGAUUUGAGGUCAACACCCGGUAGUAUAGCUUAUGUGGGUGGUAUGUGCUGUUGUAACACAAAUUCAAUAAGGAAUUCAAUUUUAUUUUUUUUCUUUUAGGUUACACUUUUGGAGGUCCUUGAGUUUUUGGUCUGGCUCUGCUUGUUUAAAUGCCAUCAAUGGUACUCAGAGCUUGAUGUUUGAUAAAAUAGUGUGUCAUGUCAAUGUUUUAAUAUAGUUUGUAUGAACUCUGGACACAAGAUUGUUUUUUCUUUCAUACCAUAAUUUCUGGUUUAAUCCCUAGAAUUGUCAAUUUCAGAA